Long non-coding RNA from Haplochromis burtoni (Burton's mouthbrooder), 1115 nucleotides. RefSeq lists it as uncharacterized. NCBI's taxonomy places the organism in Eukaryota, Metazoa, Chordata, Actinopteri, Cichliformes, Cichlidae. The transcript is spliced from 4 exons. The record is from RefSeq and is a predicted model, not a curated record.
AACAGGAGAAUGUGUCAGUCAGUCAGAUGAGCAGUCCUUACCUUUAAAUCUACCCUCUCUUCUUCCUCUCUCUGUUUGUGAGCUGAUAGUAACACUGCAUUUAAAAUGACCUGACACUUAAAAAACGUCACUCCCUUUAUGCUCGCUCCUCUUCAGUAGCACAAGCUAGAUGCUGAAUUACCACAACUUACAGACACCUGCAGUUGUUCCGGUGUUGUGCAAAAACAAAACAAACACAGUUCCACUUUUAACCCCAGACUUUGGCACAGUAAUCUCUUUUUACGUGACAUCCUCUGGCGGUUAAUAAACAGCCUGCCAUAUGUUUCUGUUUAGGCUGAAAUUAGUUUCAUGUUUGGAGCCUUACAAUGACAGAACUGCAUUAAGCAAAGGUAACAAGCCUUUUUACAAAAUGUAAGGAGUACAAAGUACAGAUAUUUGUAGUACAAAGUCAGAAAAAAAAGCAACCCAAAAACAUCUGCCAGUACAAUACAAAUUAAGAGUGUGUGUGCGUAUCUCGGCACCUCCCCUUCCUGUUAUUGGUCUGUGCUUAAAUGCUGGUGUUUCUAACGUUUUCUCUUGUUUUGAAAGCUCAGAGAACCAGUGAAGACAAAAGAAGGCAUGGCCGUCCACCAGCAGCCCACCCAGGUGGUGACAGUCAUCAGGACCAUUGAAAACUCUGGCCAAUGGAGCACCGACCUCUGUGAUUGCUGCUCUGAUAUGGAGAGCUGUUGCUGUGGCCUUUGCUGUUUUCCCUGCAUGCAGUGUGAUGCAGCCAAUAAACAUGGAUGGUGCUGUGCAAUGCCACUCCUGGACGUUUGUGGUGUGGUGUCCUGCUUACUCCGUGGAUCCAUCAGAGAGCGCCACAACAUCUAUGGCUCGUUCACUGAUGACUGCUGUAAAGUGUGCUUUUGCUACCCGUGUGUUUGGUGCCAGAUGCAUCGUGAGCUGAAGCUCAGGCAAUACCAUUAGCCCGCCACCUCUACUGUGAUCACCACGCAAGUCGUCUGUGGGCCUAUGUCACUGCUGAACCAAAUUGCUUUAAAUCUGUUGUCAUAUAAUGUGUUGAACGCCUAUGUGACUUUUUCAGGCCAAUAAAAUCCUGUAAUUCUAUGCAA